RNAcentral lists this ribosomal RNA (433 nucleotides) under uncultured bacterium. Its description in RNAcentral is "partial 16S ribosomal RNA". It matches the Rfam family "Bacterial small subunit ribosomal RNA", at positions 29 to 507 of the family's 1533-position model. The record is from RNAcentral.
AACGAACGCUGGCGGCAUGCCUAACACAUGCAAGUCGAACGAGACCUUCGGGACUAGUGGCGCACGGGUGCGUCACGCGUGGGACCCUGCCCUUAGGCUCGGGAUAACACCUUUACAGGGGUGCUAACAUCGGAUAACGUAUUCGGAUCACAGAUUCAUCCCGUUUGGAUGGGCACGCGUUGGUUUAGCUGGUUGGUAGGGAAAAAGCCUACAACGGCGACGAUAGAUAGCUGGUUUGAGAGGAUGGGCAGCCACACUGGGGCUAGGACACGGCCCAGACUACUGCGGGAGGCAGCAAUGGGGAAUAUUGGAAUAUGGGCUAAAGCCUGAACCAGCAAUGCCGCGUGAGUGAUGAAGGCCUUAGGGAUGUAAAGCUCGUUUACCCGGGAUGAUAAUGACGGUACCGGGAGAAUAAGCUCCGGCUAACUCCGUG